This 91-nucleotide transfer RNA is filed under the name Candidatus Freyarchaeota archaeon. RNAcentral describes it as "tRNA-Arg". It matches the Rfam family "tRNA". Rfam says of the family: Transfer RNA (tRNA) molecules are approximately 80 nucleotides in length. Their secondary structure includes four short double-helical elements and three loops (D, anti-codon, and T loops). Lineage: Archaea; Promethearchaeati; Candidatus Freyarchaeota. The record is from RNAcentral.
GGACGGGUCGCCUAGCCAGGAUUCGCAGAACUGAAAGGGCGCAGGCCUCCUAAGCCUGAUGUCGAGAGUUCGAAUCUCUCCCCGUCCGCCA